This 623-nucleotide long non-coding RNA is filed under the name Elaeis guineensis (African oil palm). RNAcentral describes it as "long non-coding RNA (EGUI_LNC027462)". Lineage: Eukaryota; Viridiplantae; Streptophyta; Magnoliopsida; Arecales; Arecaceae. The record is from RNAcentral.
UCCUCCUCUCUCUCUUCUCUUCUCCCUCUAUUUCUAAUGUAUUCCUGUUGAAAGUGUCAGAGAACUCCUACUUACUGAUAAGAUAAGAUGAAUUGCUACCAAAGAAAUGAAAAAAGUUAACAAAAAAAUAAUUGCAAGGGAGAAGAAAUGAGGUAAUACGAUGAAUAUGUUGAAAUAUUGAACUAUUUCCAUCUUUCUCUAAUGCAUGCUUGCAUCAGUUUUAAUAUCUCAUAUUAUGUCCCCAAUAAUUUAUUGAGUAAAUAGAGUUAAUCAUAGAUAAAGAUAGACAACAUUUGAGUAAAAGGGAAGGAUAGAAUUCAGAUAUCUAUCACUUUUUUGUCAAGCUCCACGAAUGCAUCUUGGUAUCAAUUCCUCUUUCAAAUAUUGCCACCACGGAAGACACACACCCUUUUAAUCUUUAAUGAUUGGCUCAUCUUGGCUCCCUCUCAUCUUAUAGUAAGUAGGGGUUUUGUAUGUUCUAAAGUAUCAAAUAAAACUGUUAAUUUUAUAUCACAACUUUCUUAGCAAAAACAAAAAAUCUUUAAUAGUACUCUCAUCUUCUUUGCCCAAGUUUUGGAAAAAGAAGGAGAAAAAAAAUAGAGAGAGAAAAAGAGGAAAAGGAA